AACGAAAAGGAGACACAAGAGUACACACUGAAAACUACAAACAUUGCUAAGAGAAACUGAAAAAAAACCUAUAUAUAAUAAAUGGAAGACUAUUCUGUGCAUAGUUUGGCGAUGUUGUAAAGAUAACAGUUAUCAGCGUGAGCCACAGCGCCUGGCCCAAAAUUCACCCUUUUGAAGUGUACAAGUCAGUAGUUUUUAGUAUAUUCACAAGAUUGUGCGACUACCACCACUAUGUAAUUCUAGAGUACUUUCCUUACCCCCCAAAUAAACCCCACUAGCAGCCACUCCUCAUUUCCUCCUUCCUCUACCUUCUAGCAACCCACUAAUCUACUUUCUGUCUCAGCAGAUUUGCUGUUCUAGAUAUUUCACAUAAAUGAAAUCACACAAUAUGGCUUUUUGUGACUAGCUUCUUUGACUUAACAUGUUUUCAGGGUUCAUUCAUGUUGUAGCAUACAUCAACACUCCAUUUCUUUUCAUGGCUGAAUAAUAUUUUAUUGUAUGGAUAUGUCAUUUCAUUUAUCUGUCUGUCUGUUGAUAGAUGUUUGGGUUGCUUCUGCCUUUUGGCUAUUAUGAAUAAUGCUGCUGUACACAUUUGUAUACAAGUUUCUGUGAGGACAUAUGUUCUCAUUUGUGAUUAGUAUAAACCUUGACAUGGAAUGGCUGGGUCAUAUGGUAACAUUUAACCUUAUGAAGAACCACUAAACUGUUUCCCAAAGCAGUUGCACCACUUUACACUCCCACCAGCAAUGGAUGGGGGUUCCAGUUUCUUCAAGUCCUCACCAACACUUAUUAUUUUAGCCAUCCUAGUGGUUGUGAAGUGGUAUCUUAUUGUGGUUUUUAUUUUCAUAUUCCCAAUAACUAAAGAUGUUAAGUAUCUUUUCAUACGCUUAUUUUGCAUUUUUAUAACUUCUUUGGAGAAGUGCCUCUUCAAAUCCCUUGCCCAUCUUUAAAUUGGGCUAUCUUGUUAUUGAAUUGUAAGAGUUCUUUAUAUAUUCUGGAUACUGGGCCUUUCUCAGAUCUAUGAUUGCAAAUAUUUCCCCCCAAGAAUGGGAAUUCUUAAAACCACUUUGGAAAAACUUUGGCUUUAUCUGCUAAGGUUGAAAACAUAUAUAACCUAUGGACCCAAUAAUCCACUCCUGCAUAAACACCCAACAGAAAUGAAAACACGUUUUCCAUCAAACAUAUUCAACAGUGUUUACAACAGCAUCAUUCGUAAUAACAAUUGAAAGACUGAAAAUCACCCAGACAUCCUGUGGUUAGGCUGAGUAACAGUGCCCCCAAAAAUGUCCACAUUCAAAUCCCUGGAACCUGCAAAUUUUACCUGACUUGGCAGAGACUUUGCAGAUAUGACUGAGGAUCUUGAGGGGGGUAAAUAAGAUUUCCAGUCAGCAUGUAAGGAGUUUUGAGGUCAUCACUUUGUCCUAAGUAGAGCUGUCAGGGCGCGGUGGCUCACACCUGUAAUCCCAGCACUUUGGGAGGCCGAGGCGGGUGGAUCACCUGAGGUCAGGAGUUCAAGAUAAGCCUGGUCAACAUGGUGAAACCCCAUCUCUACUAAAUAUACAAAUAUUAGCUGGGCAUGUUGGCAGGUGCCUGUAGUCCCAGCUGCUCGGGAGGCUGAGGCAGGAGAAUCGCUUGAACCCGGGAGGCGGAGGUUGCAGUGAGCUAAGAUCAUGCCAUUGCGCUCCAGCCUGGGCAACAAGAGCAAAAUUUCGUCUGAAAAAAAAAAAAAGAAAAAGCAGUAGAGCUGUGGGAGAAAUGGUCACAGGGCAAACCACUGCCUCCCAAAUUGGAGACAGACAGGUGACACAGAAUCACAACUUACCGGAGCAGAAAUCACUGGGCAUACACCUCCAUGGGAACCAGUACUGGGACAGAGGAAUCUGAAUUGUAAUUGAUGAAUUGCCCAGAGGUUCAGUUUGGGUAAGUGUGUGAGUUAAUAAUUCUACAAACACCCAGUCAUAAGAGGGUCCCCACACUUUGUGAGUUUUACCUCUAGGAGCUCUCCCAGGUUCUCACCGUGAAGAUCAGAGUGAAGAUUUCACCAUGAAGAUCUCUCGUGCUUCUGGCAAGGGAGGGGGAAAGUAACCAUUUUGAAAUAUGCCAGAGCAUUCUGUUCUUAACAAGGCCUGUCCUCAAGAAAAAUGAUUCUGCCACAGCCUUACCUGUUGAGGUUUUAUCAGAGCCAAAUCAACCUGGUGGAAGGGAAACACCUAACUCCAGCCCCUUCUAGACAUCCUGUCCCACCUAAAGGGGGUGGGGGUACUGAAAAGCACUUGUGAAGUUUACAUCCCAGGGGCACAGGCUUGCUAAAACUGAGACCUUAUCAUACAAAUACAGAAAGCUUCCUCUCCCCCCAUACCGCUAAAUGACUACUUACCAGAGUUCCUUUUACUGUACAUCAUAUCCAGCUGUUAAUAAAAAAGUACGAAGCAUACAAAAAACAGUUUGAAGACAGAGCAAGCAUCAGAACCAGACUGGGAUAUAGCAGCGAUGUUGGAAUUAUCAGACCAUGAAUUUAAAACAACUAUGACUAAUACGCUAAGGACUCUAGUGGAAAAAGUAGACAACAUGCAAGAACAGAUGGGUAAUGUUAAGCAGAGAGGUGAAGUCUAAGAGCGUAUCAAAAAGAAAUGCUAGAGAUUAAGAAAAAGCUAACAAAGAAUGCCUUUGAUGGGCUCACUAGCAGACUGGAUUGAAGGAGAGAAUCGCUAAGCUGAGGAAAGAAUUGCUGAGCUGGAGGACACGUCAAUAGCAACUUCCAAAACUGAAAAGCAAAGAAAAAACAGACACACACGCACACAAAGGAACAAAAUGUGCAAGAACUGUGGGGCAAGUCCAAACGGUGUAACAUGUAGAUAAUAGGCAUACCAAGAGAAGAAAGGAACAAAAUAAAUAUUUGAAGCAAUGACUGAGAAUUUCCCCAGAUUAAUGUUACACCAAACUACAGAUCCAUGAAGUUCAGGAAGCAUUAAGAAAGAUAAAUGGGCUGGGUGCGGUGGCUCACACCUGUAAUCCCAACACUUUGGGAGGUCGAGGCAAGAGGAUUGCUUGAGCCCAGGAGUCUGAGACCAGCCUGAACAACACGGUGAAACCCUGUCUCCACGAACAAUACAAAAAUUAGCUGGGUGUGGUGGCGCAUGCCUGUAGCCCCAGCUACUAGGGAGGCUGAGCUGGGAGGAUUGCUUGAGCCUGGGAGGCAGAGGUUGUAGUGAGCCCUGAUUGAGUCACUGCACUCCAGCCUGAGCAACAGAGUGAGAACUUGUCUCAAAAAAUAAAAUAAAAUUAAUAAAAUAAUAAAAUAAAAUGAAAAAUAAAUGAAAAAAAAAAACCCUACACCUAGGCAUAUCAUAUUCAAAUUACAGAAAAUUAAAGAAAAAGUCUUGAAAGAAGCCAGAGGAAAAAAUAUCCUCUAGAGGAGCAAACAUAAGAAAUUCAUCUGAUUCCUUUUCAGAAACAAUGCAAGCAAGAGAGUGCAGUGAAAUAUUUAAAGUGUGGAGGGAGAGUAUACGGAAUUAUUCAGGGGGGGCCAAUUUAAUCACUUCAGUCCUUACAACAGGGAGGCAGGGAGGUCAGAAUGAAAGUGAUGUGAUGGAUGCAGAGUUGAAGAUGCUAGGCUGCUGGCUUUGGAGAAGGGGCCAAGAGCCAAAGAAUGCAGGCAGCUUCUAGAUGCCAGAAAGACAACAGAUACUUGGCCGGGCGCGGUGGCUCACGCCUGUAAUCCCAGCACUUUAGGAGGCGGAGGAGGGCGGAUCAUGAGGUCAGGAGAUCAAGACCAUCCUGGCUAACAUGGUGAAACCCUGUAUCUACUAAAAAUACAAAAAAUUAGCCGGGCGUGCUGGCGGGC
Molecule: long non-coding RNA, 3844 nt
Filed under: Homo sapiens (human)
Lineage: Eukaryota; Metazoa; Chordata; Mammalia; Primates; Hominidae
Description: HSALNT0052707
Source: RNAcentral